GCAAAGUAGAUUGCUCAGUCGGCAGAGCAUGAGACUCUUAAUCUCAGGGUCAUGUGUCUGAGCCCCAUAUUCGGCA
Non-coding RNA from Podarcis lilfordi (Lilford's wall lizard), 76 nucleotides. The record is from the annotation of a GenBank genome assembly. Lineage: Eukaryota; Metazoa; Chordata; Lepidosauria; Squamata; Lacertidae.